RNAcentral lists this ribosomal RNA (468 nucleotides) under uncultured bacterium. Its description in RNAcentral is "partial 16S ribosomal RNA". It matches the Rfam family "Bacterial small subunit ribosomal RNA", at positions 28 to 507 of the family's 1533-position model. The record is from RNAcentral.
GACGAACGCUGGCGGCGUGCUUAACACAUGCAAGUCGAACGGAAAGGCCCUGCUUUUGCGGGGUGCUCGAGUGGCGAACGGGUGAGUAACACGUGAGUAACCUGCCCUUGACUUUGGGAUAACUUCAGGAAACUGGGGCUAAUACCGGAUAGGAGCUCCUGCUGCAUGGUGGGGGUUGGAAAGUUUCGGCGGUUGGGGAUGGACUCGCGGCUUAUCAGCUUGUUGGGGGGGUAGUGGCUUACCAAGGCUUUGACGGGUAGCCGGCCUGAGAGGGUGACCGGCCACAUUGGGACUGAGAUACGGCCCAGACUCCUACGGGAGGCAGCAGUGGGGAAUAUUGCACAAUGGGCGGAAGCCUGAUGCAGCAACGCCGCGUGCGGGAUGACGGCCUUCGGGUUGUAAACCGCUUUCGCCUGUGACGAAGCGUGAGUGACGGUAAUGGGUAAAGAAGCACCGGCUAACUACGUG